Molecule: ribosomal RNA, 795 nt
Filed under: Staphylococcus sp. G2SM11
Lineage: Bacteria; Bacillati; Bacillota; Bacilli; Caryophanales; Staphylococcaceae
Description: partial 16S ribosomal RNA
Source: RNAcentral
UNCAGCAGCGGACGCGNAGCUGACCUGAAUUGACCGUUGAGAUCNAGACAGACAACUCNGAAGAGGAGACGGGCAAANACACACCAUGAAACAACUAUNANGACAACUAACAUGACGUGUUAACGGGACGUGGGGAAACUAACACAGUGGGUGAUGCUGAAUGACACUGGUGUUNGAUGACACCAAACGACUCUUACGACAACAUGCCAAGACGUGUCAGUUUUAAANGAAACAAGAAAAAGUUUCGACACUUUACGACACAACUGGGUUGUGUAACUACAAAUAAGACUACUGGCGAAUUUUCACAGGCUACACAGGGAAUUCCACUUUCCUCUUCUGCACUCAAGUUUUCCAGUAUAAAUGAAACAUAAACGGAUUGAGACAGUGGGGACUUUNACAGUCAAGAACUUAAAAAAAAAACAGACCCUAACGNCGACGCCUUUUUACGCCNCAAAAUAAUUUUCCGGGAUUAACCGCCUUGCCCACCCUACGUAGUUACCGCGGCUGCUGGCACGUAGUUAGCCGUGGCUUUCUGAUUAGGUACCGUCAAGACGUGCAUAGUUACUUACACAUUUGUUCUUCCCUAAUAACAGAGUUUUACGAUCCGAAGACCUUCAUCACUCACGCGGCGUUGCUCCGUCAGGCUUUCGCCCAUUGCGGAAGAUUCCCUACUGCUGCCUCCCGUAGGAGUCUGGACCGUGUCUCAGUUCCAGUGUGGAUCGAUCACCGUCUCAGGNUCAGGCUACGCAUUCGUAAGCAAUGGGGUAAAGCCCCGUUUAAUCUUUUAAUCCAAAA